AGUGAACGCUGGCGGUAGGCCUAACACAUGCAAGUCGAACGGCAGCACAGUAAGAGCUUGCUCUUACGGGUGGCGAGUGGCGGACGGGUGAGGAAUACAUCGGAAUCUACUUUUUCGUGGGGGAUAACGUAGGGAAACCUACGCUAAUACCGCAUACGACCUACGGGUGAAAGCAGGGGAUCUUCGGACCUUGCGCGAUUGAAUGAGCCGAUGUCGGAUUAGCUAGUUGGCGGGGUAAAGGCCCACCAAGGCGACGAUCCGUAGCUGGUCUGAGAGGGUGAUCCGCCACACUGGAACUGAGACCCGGUCCCGACUCCUACGGGAGGCAGCAGUGGGGAAUAUUGGACAAUGGGCGGAAGCCUGAUCCAGCCCUACCGGGUGGGUGAAGAAGGCCUUCGGGUUGUAAAGCCCUUUUGUUGGGGAAGAAAAGCAGCAGGUUAAAACCCCGCUGUUCUGACGGUACCCAAAGAAUAAGCACCGGCUAACUUCGUG
RNAcentral lists this ribosomal RNA (492 nucleotides) under uncultured bacterium. Its description in RNAcentral is "partial 16S ribosomal RNA". It matches the Rfam family "Bacterial small subunit ribosomal RNA", at positions 29 to 507 of the family's 1533-position model. The record is from RNAcentral.